CGUUCAGAGGCCAAGGCUCCAAAACCGGGAAAAGAGGGGAAAAUGGAACGCCUCUACCCCUUUCUAAACUCGCGUCCGACGACGGCGAAGGGCCGACGACGACGACGGCUUCAGGGGCUGAUUCAGGUAUUUCUUUCCUCUUUUUCCUUAUCUUUACUUAGUGUUUUAAGAUAGAUUAAUAAAGAAAAAAGAUAAUAAUAAAAAGACUAUAUAAAAAAACGAAAGAACAGUUCUAAAAAAAACAACCUUUAGAAUUUCAAUUUCUGACUUUCGAUUUUCUAAUGUGCGUUCGUAAAAAAGGAAGAAGAUUACAAUGGCUGUGUUCGGCUUAUAUAGCCAAAUCUUUAAAACUGCUGAACUUCUAUUUUUUGUUGUUUCAGUUGUCUUCUAGUGCUUGUGUGUUGUUUGCUAUAUGUUGCAGGUGAUAGGGGUGUCAGACGCGUGGUGGUAGCAUGCGCGAUGGAGGCCGGUGGCGUGCGCGAGUGGCGAUUGGUAGCAGAGGCAACGUGCACGAGGCUGGCGGCUAGGGGUCAGACCUAGGUGCGGCGCACCUAGGGUUUCCCUUGGCUGAAAAGUUUCUUAGUUUUGGGCUAGGGCUAAUUUGGGCUUGCUGGGUUAAUUUUUAGGUAGUGGGUCAAGAAUUGGGUUGGUCAGAUUUGGGCUACUGUUGUUUUAUUUAUUUUGUUUUAUUUUGGCACUGGGCCCGGGCAAAAAUUGGGCUCUACAGCUGCCCCUCUUUGCUCAUUGUCG
This 750-nucleotide long non-coding RNA is filed under the name Gossypium raimondii (Peruvian cotton). Its description in RNAcentral is "long non-coding RNA (GRAI_LNC011212)". The record is from RNAcentral. Lineage: Eukaryota; Viridiplantae; Streptophyta; Magnoliopsida; Malvales; Malvaceae.